Molecule: ribosomal RNA, 253 nt
Filed under: uncultured bacterium
Lineage: Bacteria
Description: partial 16S ribosomal RNA
Rfam family: Bacterial small subunit ribosomal RNA
Source: RNAcentral
UACGUAGGUUGCGAGCGUUAUUCGGAUUUACUGGGCGUAAAGAGCACCGAGGUGGCUUCUUAAGUUGGAUGUGAAAUCUCCUGGCUUAACCGGGAGGCGCCAUUCAAAACUGGGGAGCUUGAGGUCAGCAGGGGAAGGUGGAAUUCCCGGUGUAGUGGUGGAAUGCGUAGAGAUCGGGAGGAACACCAGUGGCGAAAGCGACCUUCUGGGCUGCACCUGACACUCUAGUGCGAAAGCGUGGGGAGCAAACAGG